UAGAUACCCCGGUACUCCUUUCUGUAAACGAUGAAUGGUAGUCAUUAGUUUAAUUUAAAUAACUAGAGGCGAAGUUAACACAAUAACCAUUCCGCCUUGUGAGUACUACUGCAAAGUAGAAAACAAAAAAAUUAGUCGGUCUCGAAGCAAACGGAGUGAAGCAUGUUAUUUAAUACGAUAAUCCGCGUAAAACCUUACCAGAACUUGCAUACAAACUAUUAAUUUUCUGUCAAAGGAAAAUAUUAGGAGUAUUUUAUCAUUUAAAAUACUUAAGUACAGGUGUUGCAUGGCUGUCUUCAGUUCGUGUUGUUAAACAUUAGGUUAAUUCCACUAACGAACGAAAUCCCUGUUAUUAAUUUAUACUUAAUAACUAAUGAAUCUGAUAGAGAUUCAGCGGGGGCUAAGACAAGUCGUUAUGGCCCUCAUGUUCUGGGCUAUAGACGUGCCACAAAAACUUUUACAAAGUGAUGCAAUACUUCCCAAGAGAAGUGGAGCUAAUCAUUAAAAAAAGUUAUUUAUAUUAAAUAUAAGCCGGAUUGUCUCCUGUAAUUCGGAGGCAUGAAGAAGGAAUUCCGAGUAAUCGUUGAUAAGUAGCGCAACGGUGAAGCUAGUUUCGUGAUGAACUAACUGUCUGUCGCUGGGAAGAAGCUUUUAGUGGAGGAAACUGGAGUAAGAUAAUGUUUUUUUCAUAGUAACUCAUUGCUUUAAGUAAAGUCUUUUUAGUAUUAUGAUAAAACUUAUUGGAUUUAGUUAAUUCAUUGAG
Molecule: ribosomal RNA, 763 nt
Filed under: Ganoderma applanatum
Lineage: Eukaryota; Fungi; Basidiomycota; Agaricomycetes; Polyporales; Polyporaceae
Description: SSU rRNA
Rfam family: Bacterial small subunit ribosomal RNA (bases 1-686)
Source: RNAcentral